GCUAGCUACCUUGAAGUAAGAGGUAAAGAUCUCUUAUAAUAAUAAAAAGAAGCAGAAAUUUCGCUUCAAGAUGUUAGGCAAUAUUCUGGAAGAGUACUAGUAAUAAACUAGCUCGUGUUCCAGCAGUCGAGACUGAGAGGUCGAUCGACCACAUUGGGUAUGAAAAAAGCCCAAGGCGAACAGCACAGCAGUGAGGAAUAUUGGUCAAUGGUCUAACGACUGAACCAGCAAUUUGGAAGAACGUAUAAUAAAUAAAUUAUUUAAAGUUCUAGAUAAAAUAUUUAUAAUGACUAUUUUUUAUCUAUAAGUCUUGGCCAAAUUACGUGCCAGCAGUCGCGGUAAUACGUAAAAGACGAGUGUUAUUCAUCUUUAAUCGGUUUAAAGGGUACCUAGACGGAAAAUCAAGCUUAAUUAAACUAAGGACUAGUUUUCUAGAGUUUGACAUGAGAAGGUACGAACUAUCAGAGGAGAGAUAAAAUUUGUUGAUACUGGUGGGACGGACAACGGCGAAGGCAAUCUUCUACUAAAAACUGACGUUGAGGGACGAAGCCUUGGGGAGCGAGAAGGAUUAGAUACCCUAGUAGUCCUUGGAGAAAAUUAUGAGUGCCAUAGACUAAAGUGAAAAAGAAGUUCUUUUAAAAGAACUUUGUAUCUGAGCCUUAAUUGGAUACAAAGGUCUCGAGUAGCAGUUUAUAAAUGAAAGUGUAAGCAUUCCACCUCAUGACUAAAGCGGCAACGCCCAAAUUGAAAUCAUUAGACCGUUUCUGAAACCAGUAGUGAAGUAUGUUAUUUAAUUCGAUAACCCGCGAAUAACCUUACCACGUUUUGAAUUUAUUAAACAAGUGUUGCACGGCUGUCUUCAGUUAAUGUCGUGAGAUUUUGGUUUGUUCCAUUAAUUAACGAAAACCCUUGUUUCAUUUUUAUAUGAAAUAGUUCACCGUUAUAUUGGAAAGAUAAAAGGGAUCAAGACAAGUCAUCAUGGC
Molecule: ribosomal RNA, 983 nt
Filed under: Leotiomycetes sp. A591
Lineage: Eukaryota; Fungi; Ascomycota; Leotiomycetes
Description: SSU rRNA
Rfam family: Bacterial small subunit ribosomal RNA
Source: RNAcentral